Molecule: unclassified non-coding RNA, 271 nt
Filed under: Arthrobotrys sp.
Lineage: Eukaryota; Fungi; Ascomycota; Orbiliomycetes; Orbiliales; Orbiliaceae
Description: partial internal transcribed spacer region
Rfam family: Eukaryotic small subunit ribosomal RNA (bases 1-46)
Source: RNAcentral
AAGUCGUAACAAGGUUUCCGUAGGUGAACCUGCGGAAGGAUCAUUACCAAAAGGCGAGAAAUCGCUUUUGCUACCUGCUCAGUGACCCUCUGGGCCGCUGACUGGUCAACCCUUUGUGAACCAAAAACCCUUUCGCUUCGGCAGCUGGGCCUCAUGGCCUGUCAGCCUGCCGUUAGCACCUUUACAAAACAACUUGUUUGUCAAAACAUUGUCUGAUAACCAAAGUUUCGAAUGAAAAUCAAAACUUUCAACAACGGAUCUCUUGGUUCCC